Molecule: ribosomal RNA, 359 nt
Filed under: uncultured bacterium
Lineage: Bacteria
Description: partial 16S ribosomal RNA
Rfam family: Bacterial small subunit ribosomal RNA
Source: RNAcentral
CCUACGGGCGGCAGCAGUGAGGAAUAUUGGUCAAUGGGCGGAAGCCUGAACCAGCCAAGUAGCGUGCGGGAUGAAGGCCCUACGGGUCGUAAACCGCUUUUGCACGGGGAUAACACCCUCCACUUGUGGAGGUCUGCAGGUACCGUGCGAAUAAGGGCCGGCAAAUUCUGUGCCAGCAGCGGCGGUAAUACGGAAGGCCCGGGCGUUAUCCGGUGUCAUUGGGCUUAACGGGAGCGUAGGCGGGCGUUCAAGUCAGCUGUACAAUCGCGGGGCUAAACCGGGCACCGCAGUUGAAACUGGACGGCUUGAGUUCACAACAGGCAGGCGGAAUUCGUGGUGUAGCGGGGAAAUGCGUAGAU